UUCAAGUCGACCAGACAUUCAAGAGGAGACUCACAGUUCAAAAAGCCCUACUCUACUCCAACUCAAACGUGUUUGAGGGCUCUUAACUUCUCUCUAGUUUAUAUCGCUGUAUAUCUGCUUUUUAGAAGCUCUGUUUUUCGGUUUGUGUCUGUUCUUUCCAUCUUAUCUUUGCUUGAUUCAAUCAGGGGGUUGAAUCAAGAGUGCGUAGAGGUUGGUUGGUGAGCCGAGGGUAAAACCAACGUGUAAGGAUUCGAUUGUGAUCCCGGAAAAACAAUCGGGGUGGUUCUAGUCGGUGAGCCUGAGAAAACCGACCGAGUUCGUUGUGAGCUCGUAAAACAACAAGUUGGGUUGUGAGCU
Molecule: long non-coding RNA, 357 nt
Filed under: Phoenix dactylifera (date palm)
Lineage: Eukaryota; Viridiplantae; Streptophyta; Magnoliopsida; Arecales; Arecaceae
Description: long non-coding RNA (PDAC_LNC009534)
Source: RNAcentral